GAUCCUCUCUGUUGUGAUUCAUCCCCCCCAGGCCCUACAGUUUCUCCUUCCUGACUCUUACAUUUCUUUGGAUGGCAUCACUAUUUUAGUUGCCAAGCACUGUGGAUUCUACCCCUCAGGGUCCAGACACCCAUUUUCCUUCCCACUGUUCCCUCCCCAUGGAGAAGCCUGUGGCUGACUGACAGCUCAACUUGGAGAAGGUGUUACCUGGGCCAGGUGGGGAAGGUAGGGUUGUUUGCAGAGCAAAGAAGUGAAGCCAGCCACCUCAAGAAAGAACAGUUCAUGUGCAGGUGACCAUGUAGUUCAAGUCAUCAUUAAAUCCAAAGCUGAGCAGCCAUGAUGCUAUUGGUGGAAUUGCCCUUGACCAAGAGAAAUCCAUCUUGAUUGUCUCAAUAAUUGGCUCAAGGGCCAUUGAUGAUGAGGUCCUAAAUUUAAUUCCUAAUAAAACCCCUGAAGUUUUAGAGGCAAAAUGAGAAAGCAUAGCUCACAAAUACCUUGACCAAUGACUUGCCUAUUCAAUGUGAAAAAGAUGAGGGCGAAGACCUUUAUGAUGAUCCAAGUAAUGAACA
This 569-nucleotide non-coding RNA is filed under the name Pongo abelii (Sumatran orangutan). The record is from RNAcentral. Lineage: Eukaryota; Metazoa; Chordata; Mammalia; Primates; Hominidae.